RNAcentral lists this ribosomal RNA (270 nucleotides) under uncultured archaeon. RNAcentral's name for it is "partial 16S ribosomal RNA". It matches the Rfam family "Archaeal small subunit ribosomal RNA", at positions 477 to 747 of the family's 1478-position model. The record is from RNAcentral.
CAGCACCUCAAGUGGUCAGGAUGAUUAUUGGGCCUAAAGCAUCCGUAGCCGGCGCUGUAAGUUUUCGGUUAAAUCUGUACGCUCAACGUACAGGCUGCCGGGAAUACUGCAGCGCUAGGGAGUGGGAGAGGUAGACGGUACUCGGUAGGAAGGGGUAAAAUCCUUUGAUCUAUUGAUGACCACCUGUGGCGAAGGCGGUCUACCAGAACACGUCCGACGGUGAGGGAUGAAAGCUGGGGGAGCAAACCGGAUUAGAUACCCGAGUAGGCC